This 582-nucleotide small RNA is filed under the name Histoplasma capsulatum. RNAcentral's name for it is "hypothetical RNA". RNAcentral also lists the same sequence under 1 other name. The record is from RNAcentral. Lineage: Eukaryota; Fungi; Ascomycota; Eurotiomycetes; Onygenales; Ajellomycetaceae.
GCCAGCGAAAUCCAAAAAAGAAAUUUACAAACAGCUGUGAUUGGGCUAAUAAUUCAAACCCCGAGAGGAUAUCCCAGAGAAUCACCAUUGUCGCAACCCACGAUGGAAAAAAAUUGGUGAGAGAUCAGCCCUUCCACAACGUCAACAAGCCAGCCUGAUGGUUUAGUAGAUCAUCGAGGUGUGCGCUCAUCGAGCAAAUCACGAAAAUUUAACUUCAACGUCAAUUCGGUGCUUCAGGGCCGUUUAUGCAGAAGGAGAAUAAUCGAUGGGGAUUUGAGAAAGAUAACGGGCAUGGUGUGAGAUUAGCUUGAGCCCCGAGGCGUUAAUGGGAACUUGGGAAGUCUCCACUUAUCGUCUCGAACUUGCCCCUUAGUUGAUUCCUCUGGUGUCAGACUAAGCAUUGGUCCCAAGAUCGCCAGAAAACGUUAUCAUGGUUAUGACCAAAGCUCGUUGCAACCAAGACAGCGGCUGGCCGGUGGGCACGGGGCAGUGACGUGAGAGUGGAGAAUCAGGAUGAGCCGGGGUGCAGACACUGAGCUGUAUUUUAUUUUUUCCAGGGUAUCCCCAUAAUUGAGUUGGCAA